Molecule: ribosomal RNA, 255 nt
Filed under: uncultured bacterium
Lineage: Bacteria
Description: partial 16S ribosomal RNA
Rfam family: Bacterial small subunit ribosomal RNA
Source: RNAcentral
GACGUAGGGCGCGAGCGUUGUCCGGAUUUAUUGGGCGUAAAGGGCUCGUAGGCGGUUUGUCACGUCAGGAGUGAAACUCGGGGCUCAACCCCGAGCCUGCUUCUGAUACGGGCAGACUGGAGGUAUGCAGGGGAGAACGGAAUUCCUGGUGUAGCGGUGAAAUGACGCAGAUAUCAGGAGGAACACCGGUGGCGAAGGCGGGUCUCUGGGCCGAUACUGACGCUGGAGGAGCGAAAGCGGUGGGGAGCGAACAGG